UUGUGGAAAGCUUAUAGCAUUACUCUAGAGACACGCCCAGCAUUUGCUGAAUACCAUGAUUUGCUUGAAGAGUUGGAAGGAAAGCUUUCAAGCUUUCUUAUAUCUGGAGCUACUCGAGAAUCUUGAAGGAUGUUUGAAAUCCAAGGUUUAGCUACUCCUCUCAUUAAUAUAUUCGUGAUUCUGGAAGUUUUGGCUCUCCAUCUGGGGCAGAGGGGAGAUUUUAGAGUUCUAUUCGCAUCAUGAGCCGCAUAUGGCAUGAGCAUCGUGAUUAUAGUCUUACACAAAUUAUUGCAAGCAUUCUGUGUAUAUAAACACCACACCAUGUUUGCUGCCUAUUUUAAUUUUUUCACUUAUAGAAUGUGUUAUUUUCUUUGCUAAAUUGAGAGGAAGAGAGAUGAACGGCUCUUGUAGGAUUUAGUUAUAAAGAAUUUGUUUGAACAAUGCAUAGAUGGUUAAAUUUUGCUGUUGAAAUACACUCGUUGAAAGUAAUGUUUUUAUAAAUUUGUUUAGAUUGUAAUCAUACCAUGAAUUAUAUGCUGUAAAUAUAUGAUUCUAUUUGUAAUA
Long non-coding RNA from Olea europaea var. sylvestris, 564 nucleotides. RefSeq lists it as uncharacterized. NCBI's taxonomy places the organism in Eukaryota, Viridiplantae, Streptophyta, Magnoliopsida, Lamiales, Oleaceae. The record is from RefSeq and is a predicted model, not a curated record. The transcript is spliced from 2 exons.